CCUUUGGCAUGAUUACUAUUAGUGGUAGUUUUUGGCACGUUAAGGGUGCAAAGGU
This 55-nucleotide transfer RNA is filed under the name Anadara antiquata. RNAcentral's name for it is "tRNA-Thr". The record is from RNAcentral. Lineage: Eukaryota; Metazoa; Mollusca; Bivalvia; Arcoida; Arcidae.